GAUGAACGCUGGCGGCACGCCUAAUACAUGCAAGUCGAGCGAACGGACGGGGAUCUCGCUCCUCUGCCGUUAGCGGCGGGCGGGUGAGUAAUACGUGGAUAACCGACAUAUAAGACUGGCAUCACUUCGGGGGACCGGAUCUAAUACCGGAUCAUAUAUUGAACCGCAUGGUUCAUUGGUGCUCGACGUUUUUGCUGACCCUAAUAGAUGGUUCCGCGUCGCAUUAGCUAGUUGGUAAGGUAACGGCUUACCAAGGCUACGAUGCGUAGCUGACCUGAGAGGAUGAUCAGCCACACUGGAACUGAGACACGGUCCAGACUCCUACGGGAGGCAGCAGUGGGGAAUAUUCGACAAUGGGCGAAAGCCUGACCCAGCAACGCCGCGUGAGUGAAGAAGGUCUUCGGAUCGUAAAGCUCUUUUAUUUGGGAAGAAGAGAAGUAUGAUAAUCCAUUGAUGUCUUGACGGUACCUAAAGAAUAAGCACCGGCUAACUUCGUG
RNAcentral lists this ribosomal RNA (497 nucleotides) under uncultured bacterium. Its description in RNAcentral is "partial 16S ribosomal RNA". It matches the Rfam family "Bacterial small subunit ribosomal RNA", at positions 28 to 507 of the family's 1533-position model. The record is from RNAcentral.